RNAcentral lists this ribosomal RNA (492 nucleotides) under uncultured bacterium. RNAcentral's name for it is "partial 16S ribosomal RNA". It matches the Rfam family "Bacterial small subunit ribosomal RNA", at positions 29 to 507 of the family's 1533-position model. The record is from RNAcentral.
AGUGAACGCUGGCGGUAGGCCUAACACAUGCAAGUCGAACGGCAGCACAGUAAGAGCUUGCUCUUACGGGUGGCGAGUGGCGGACGGGUGAGGAAAACAUCGGAAUCUGCUUUUUCGUGGGGGAUAACGUAGGGGAACUUACGCUAAUACCGCAUACGACCUACGGGUGAAAGCAGGGGAUCUUCGGACCUUGCGCGAUUGAAUGAGCCGAUGUCGGAUUAGCUAGUUGGCGGGGUAAAGGCCCACCAAGGCGACGAUCCGUAGCUGGUCUGAGAGGAUGAUCAGCCACACUGGAACUGAGACACGGUCCAGACUCCUACGGGAGGCAGCAGUGGGGAAUAUUGGACAAUGGGCGCAAGCCUGAUCCAGCCAUACCGCGUGGGUGAAGAAGGCCUUCGGGUUGUAAAGCACUUUUGUUGGGAAAGAAAAGCAGCAGGUUAAUACCCCGCUGUUCUGACGGUACCCAAAGAAUAAGCACCGGCUAACUUCGUG